AAAACCCUAAACACGAUUCUAACUCAUUCCCAACUGAUUUCCUACUUUUCCUUGGUGAUUUAGACAUUCAGCUUGUUCUAAUCAAAUAUAUUAUGGGUUCUCUUCCCUUGGUUGUUCUUAAUCUAUUCCAAAAGACCCGUCGACUGCUCGUGCUUCGGAGUCUACGCAGGGUUAGCUGUUUGCCAAGAUUCACGUGGAUAAGCAAGCAGUUUAUGAUUUAAAAGCUUGGUCAUCUCCAAUUUUUGAUUCUUGGAGGUUUUUAUGUUAAUAAAACUACUCUAUUGUUUUAAACUCUUAGACCGCAGUAGGACUAGUAUUUGUUUUGAUUAUCGUACUCUGAAUUGUCGGAUUGGUCCGAUUAUUUUAUUAUUACCUUUGGUAUGUAUACUCUGGAUUUAUCU
This is a long non-coding RNA of Mercurialis annua (annual mercury), 401 nucleotides long. RefSeq lists it as uncharacterized. The transcript is spliced from 4 exons. The record is from RefSeq and is a predicted model, not a curated record. NCBI's taxonomy places the organism in Eukaryota, Viridiplantae, Streptophyta, Magnoliopsida, Malpighiales, Euphorbiaceae.